Zeugodacus cucurbitae (melon fly) is the source of this 2338-nucleotide long non-coding RNA. RefSeq lists it as uncharacterized. NCBI's taxonomy places the organism in Eukaryota, Metazoa, Arthropoda, Insecta, Diptera, Tephritidae. The transcript has 4 exons. The record is from RefSeq and is a predicted model, not a curated record.
UUACAGCAAAUCAUUGCAUAUUAAUGGUCGCUGAGCAAUGUAUUUACGGCUAAGCACUGUAUUACCAUACAUACAUGCAUACAGAAGUGUACGUACAUUUGCGCACACGUUUAUGAGUGCGUGCGGAAUAAAAUUUCAUCAUACACUCGCCUAUACCCCUGAGGCAAGCAAAGUGUGAAGUGUAGUGUAGUGCAACGUGAAGUGAGCGGCAGUCGCCAUAGAAUGAAACAAAAAACUCGUCUAAUGAACACACCAGUGAAGCGCAACGAGCAGUAGAGCGAGGGGUGUCGUUGGCAUCGCACUCGGUCGCACUGUCGUGGCCUGCACACGCUCCUACACGAUCAUACUGUGCACAUUCAUUUGGAUUUGAAUGUGCCAACGUCUACCAGCAGCUACCGGUUUGGCACUGCUCAUUUCCGGCUUGUUUACGUUCGCCUGCGGACCAUUUGUGGAUUACACAUACAGUUGCAGUUGUCGCCUCAAGACUCAAACCAAAUAUUUUUCGGAUGAACAAAAAUGACCAGUUAUCAAAAUAAUACAUACAUAUGUAUACCAUAUAUUUAACUCUGGUAGCUCAAUAUAUACGAUAUAUACAUAUACAAACAUAGAUAAUUAAGCCACUAUGAAGAACUACUUUUAAGAAAUAUAAUUAAAUUGUAAUCAAAAUAUACAAAUACAGCACAGUUUUUAAUUUUUUCUUAAGAGGAUCUACAUAGAGCCACAUUUUGAGUACAAAAGUCGAGACAAACUGAGCCUACUGCUCGUGCUGCAAUUUCUAUUAUGUUAGAAAAUUAAUACGUCAGUGAUGUGGGUGUUGAAAUUUCGUUUCAUAUUCCACAAAAAUCAUCAAAAUCGGUUCAGAUUUACCGGAGUUAUGGCCAUUCAAAGUGUUGAUGUCACAAGAAGGGGAAUUCUCAGCCCGCAUUUCCUCGCAUUUGGAUGCGCAUAAAAACGUUAAUUAAGCUGGAAGUUGUGACUAUUUUUUGCUCUUAAUUUAAUUUGGAUAUCUCUUAAUGCAAAACAAGUUAGAAAAUACGAGUACUUUAUCAAAUUCUAUAAGAAAUUUCGAUUUCAAAUACCUCAUAUUAAUCAUUUAUUUUCCAAAUUGCGACCACUUCCGUUUUCCAAAUCAUAUACAUAUAUACAUGAAAUUGGUGUAGAAUUCUUCAGGCUACAAGAAUAUAUAAACGUUUUUACUAACUUCCCGGCUUGAUCAAAUUUUAUUGCAAAAAAACACGAAAUUGACUCUCAAACUGUCGGAAAGAAGGGCUUAUAAUUUAAAUAUUUGAAGUGUUAGAAUUCUGCAAAGUAUCUCAGAAGAUGCGCAAUUCUCUCAAGAUACCGUUAGCAAAAAAAAUCAAAUCAAAAUUCGCAUUAAAGCCGCUGUUUUUCGCAAUUUUCCCUUUGAAAUUCAAAAUACAAGUCGCAAAUUUGAAUGCCAAUGGAAAACCAUUAAUUUUUGCGAAAUUUUUGCCCACGUGCGAAAUACCGAACCCGCCUAGAUGCCUCCGUUCAGGAGUUAUUAACGUUUAACCACAUCCGUGUGUGUUUGCUGGUGUGCUGUUGUGCCUGUGUGUGGCGCGUGUGACAAGUGUAGCAUAUGCACGUGGGCAAAAAUUUCGCAAAAAUUAAUGGUUUUCCAUUGGCAUUCAAAUUUGCGACUUGUAUUUUUAAAUUCAAAGUGAAAAUUGCGAAAAACAGCGGCUUUAAUGCGAAUUUUGAUUUGAUUUUUUUUGCUAACGAUAUCUUGAGAGAAUUGCACAUCUUCUGAGAUACUUUGUAGAAUUCUAUCACUUCAAAUAUAUAAAUUAUAAGCCCUUCUUUCCGACAGUUUGAGAGUCAAUUUCGUGUUUUUUUGCAAUAAAAUUUGAUCAAGCCGGGAAGUUAGUAAAAACGUUUAUAUAUUCUUGUAGCCUGAAGAAUUCUACACCAAUUUCAUGUAUAUAUGUAUAUGUUUUGAAGAACGGAAGUGGUCGCAAUUUGGAAACUAAAUGAUUAAUAUGGGGUAUUUGACAUCGAAAUUUCUUAUAGAAUUUGAUAAAGUACUCGUAUUUUCUAACUUGUUUCGCAUUAAGAGAUAUUCAAAUUAAAUUAAGAGCAAAAAAUUGUCACAACUUCCAGCUUAAUUAACGUUUUUAUGCGCAUCCAAAUGCGAGAAAAUGCGGGCUGAGAAUUCCCCUUCUUGUGACAUCAACACUUUGAAUGGCCAUAACUCCGGUAAAUCUGAACCGAUUUUAAUGCCAUAUGAAAGAAAAUUUCAACAUCUACAGCAGUAUAACCCAUGAAAAAUUAGGAGAUUUUCGCCUGCCAUUCAAAACUAUUUAAGAUACGACCUUAC